RNAcentral lists this ribosomal RNA (254 nucleotides) under uncultured bacterium. Its description in RNAcentral is "partial 16S ribosomal RNA". It matches the Rfam family "Bacterial small subunit ribosomal RNA", at positions 524 to 777 of the family's 1533-position model. The record is from RNAcentral.
GACAGAGGGGGCAAGCGUUGCUCGGAAUCACUGGGCGUAAAGGGCGCGUAGGCGGGAUGGCAAGUCGGUCGUGAAAUCCUUCGGCUCAACCGAAGAACGUCGGCCGAUACUGCCGUUCUUGAGGGAUGCAGAGGAGAUUGGAAUUCCCGGUGUAGCGGUGAAAUGCGUAGAUAUCGAGAGGAACACCUGCGGCGAAGGCGGGUUGCUGGGCUGAUACUGACGCUGAGGCGCGAAAGCCAGGGGAGCGAACGGGG